Molecule: ribosomal RNA, 572 nt
Filed under: Astroblepus sp. AUM 46559 Tag P6058
Lineage: Eukaryota; Metazoa; Chordata; Actinopteri; Siluriformes; Astroblepidae
Also listed under: 1 other name
Description: partial 16S ribosomal RNA
Rfam family: Bacterial large subunit ribosomal RNA
Source: RNAcentral
CGCCUCCUGCAAAACUCAAUGUAUAGGAGGUCUUACCUGCCCAGUGACUACAAGUUAAACGGCCGCGGUAUUUUGACCGUGCAAAGGUAGCGCAAUCACUUGUCUUUUAAAUGAAGACCAGUAUGAAUGGUUAAACGAGGGCCUAACUGUCUCCCUACUCUAGUCAAUGAAAUUGAUCUGCCCGUGCAGAAGCGGACAUAAAAAUACAAGACGAGAAGACCCUUUGGAGCUUAAGAUAAAAAACCAAUUAUAUUAAUACCCCCAACAAGGAGCUAAACUAAAUAACCCACUGGUCUAAAUCUUCGGUUGGGGCGACCACGGGAAAAAACAAAACUCCCAUGUAGAAAAGGGAAUACCCCUAAAGCUAAGAGAGACAUCUCUAAGAAACAGAAACUCUGACUAUAAAGAUCCGGCCACACACCGACCAACGGACCAAGUUACCCAAGGGAUAACAGCGCAAUCCCCUUCCAGAGCCCAUAUCGACAAGGGGGUUUACGACCUCGAUGUUGGAUCAGGACAUCCUAAAGGUGCAGCCGCUAUUAAGGGUUCGUUUGUUCAACGAUUAAAGUCCU